UUAGCAAAGGGUGGAAAUUUCCACUGACGCACUGUUGAUAAGCCAAGGAGAAGGGGGGGGAAGGGAGGAUGAGCUGUUCCAGCAGAUCUUUCUGACUCCUCUCAGGAAAAGGUAUUUUAUCAAAAUUGCAGGCACUGGGAAAAACGUGGGGUUUCAAAAACAACCACCUCUCUCCAGCGUGAGCAAGGUUGCUUCUCUCUGCCACAACAAAACAAAAAAAAACCAACAAAAAAGAGAGAGAAGGGAGAAAGAAGCACCAUGAAAAAAAAAUAAUUUUGAUUUCUUCAGGAAAGAAAGAAGGGCUGGAAAAACAAUGAGCAGCACAAUGGACAAUGACAUCCCUGAGGAGAUGUGAACCCCUUCCCCUCAAAUGUCCACACUAAAAUCAGCUGCCAGGGGGUUUUUAAACCCUCAAACCUUCACUGCAGGCAGUGAUCUGUGACCCCACAACGCUGCUGUUUGUGGAGUAAACAACCCCAAAUCCCAGAGAGACAAAGCCAGGGAAAAAUACAGGAAUGCAGCAGGGAAACCACCUCGUUCUUGCAGACAGAAAUGCAAAAAGCAUUUGUGCUCUCUAGGAGUCACCAGGGGAGAAAUGCAGGAAAAUUCCACUGAUUCACCAUGAGCCCACAGUUAUUUUUGUCCUCCUGCUUGACUGCAAACACAAGGAUGAUUUAAAUGCAGGGGAGCAGACUGGAACACGUUAAAACAAUGCAUUAACUCCAAAAGAAAUUAAAAUAUAAGAUGGUCUCAAAUAAAAGAGGACGUGCCUUUGUAUAUGAGGAAAAUAAAAAUUUUUUUUUAAAAAAAGAGGACAAAACAAAGAGCCAGGUUUCAUUUCUGGAAUUUACCAUAUUCAAGCAGAAAUUGUUUGAAGCUUGAGUCCUAAGGAUGCUCAGAUCUGUUGCUUUCAGAUGGCCAGGGUAGGAUUUCAAGGAUGCUGGAUGAAAAUUCCCUUUGAAGCCCUCCAGGAAUAGAGCUCUGAGCCAAGGGGAACAGUGAAGGUAUGGUGGCCUUGGAAGAGGCUGUGGGGUCCCAAGGUUUUGGCCCCAAAAUGUCUCCCUUGUGUGAAGGUGGAAGAUCCAAGGGAAAGAAAAUGUUCUGAGGAACAGCAGAGGUGAAAAGGAGCAGAAAACACCUGGAGGAAACCACAGCAGGAGCAGGAGGAGUUCCACGUUGGCCUCAUUAAGGUUGUUUUGGAGCUGCCUUUGGAUCAUCCCCAAGGUGAAACUCCCCCCUCAGUGUGCUCCUAUCACUUUACAACCAGUUGGAAUCUGCUCCAGCUCAGGCCUGACCGGAUCUGCUCUGCUGUCCUCAGCCAGCCCCAGCCUGGAGAGCUCCUGGAGCAUCUCAAGCAGAGCCUGAGCUGAACAUUCCUUGCAUUCACAGCCUGGCACACACCUUAUUUAAAUCAGUUUGCUUCUGUUUGUGCCAGACAGAAACACCUCUGGGACCAAAAAAAACACCUUAAAAGAGAGUGAAAUGCAGCUCAUUAAUAACAAGUAGUGGUGAGGGAAAGAAAUACUUGGCACCAAGGUUGGGAAUCUUUAUUUAAAUACAUUUUUCCCCCAGUUUUUCGCAUUCUGGGCAAGUCAGGCUCAAAGUCUCACCUAAAUUUCCAUACCUGAAUUGUUACCAUUUCAAAUCGCUCACUGAAAUACUUAAAAACCAAAAUACUCGUGUUCCACUAUGAAUAAAAUGAAUGUGAAUGUG
Lonchura striata (white-rumped munia) is the source of this 1713-nucleotide long non-coding RNA. RefSeq lists it as uncharacterized. NCBI's taxonomy places the organism in Eukaryota, Metazoa, Chordata, Aves, Passeriformes, Estrildidae. The record is from RefSeq and is a predicted model, not a curated record.